RNAcentral lists this transfer RNA (71 nucleotides) under Trichechus manatus latirostris (Florida manatee). RNAcentral describes it as "tRNA-Glu (CTC) (tRNA-Glu-CTC-7-1)". It matches the Rfam family "tRNA". Rfam says of the family: Transfer RNA (tRNA) molecules are approximately 80 nucleotides in length. Their secondary structure includes four short double-helical elements and three loops (D, anti-codon, and T loops). Lineage: Eukaryota; Metazoa; Chordata; Mammalia; Sirenia; Trichechidae. The record is from Rfam by way of RNAcentral.
GCAUUGGUAGUUCAGUGGUAGAAUUCUUGCCUCUCAUGCAGGAGACCUGGGUUUGAUUCCUGGCCAAUACA